This 520-nucleotide ribosomal RNA is filed under the name uncultured Glomeromycotina. Its description in RNAcentral is "SSU rRNA". It matches the Rfam family "Eukaryotic small subunit ribosomal RNA", at positions 569 to 1093 of the family's 1831-position model. The record is from RNAcentral. Lineage: Eukaryota; Fungi; Glomeromycota.
AGCAGCCGCGGUAAUUCCAGCUCCAAUAGCGUAUAUUAAAGUUGUUGCAGUUAAAAAGCUCGUAGUUGAAUUUCGGGAUUAGUACGCUGGUCAUGCCUUUGGUAUGUACUGGUGUUACUGAUUUCUACCUUCUGAAGAACCGUUAUGUCAUUCAUUUGGUGUGGCGGGGAAUCAGGACUGUUACUUUGAAAAAUUAGAGUGUUUAAAGCAGGCUCGCGCUUGAAUACAUUAGCAUGGAAUAAUGAAAUAGGACGUUGAUCCUAUUUUGUUGGUUUCUAGGAUUGACGUAAUGAUUAAUAGGGAUAGUUGGGGGCAUUAGUAUUCAAUUGUCAGAGGUGAAAUUCUUGGAUUUAUUGAAGACUAACUACUGCGAAAGCAUUUGCCAAGGAUGUUUUCAUUAAUCAAGAACGAAAGUUAGGGGAUCGAAGACGAUCAGAUACCGUCGUAGUCUUAACCAUAAACUAUGCCGACUAGGGAUCGGAUGAUGUUAAUUUUUAAUGACUCAUUCGGCGCCUUAACC